RNAcentral lists this ribosomal RNA (521 nucleotides) under Staphylococcus aureus. RNAcentral describes it as "partial 23S ribosomal RNA". It matches the Rfam family "Bacterial large subunit ribosomal RNA", at positions 258 to 778 of the family's 2925-position model. Lineage: Bacteria; Bacillati; Bacillota; Bacilli; Caryophanales; Staphylococcaceae. The record is from RNAcentral.
ACGGGAAGAGCCCAAACCAACAAGCUUGCUUGUUGGGGUUGUAGGACACUCUAUACGGAGUUACAAAGGACGACAUUAGACGAAUCAUCUGGAAAGAUGAAUCAAAGAAGGUAAUAAUCCUGUAGUCGAAAAUGUUGUCUCUCUUGAGUGGAUCCUGAGUACGACGGAGCACGUGAAAUUCCGUCGGAAUCUGGGAGGACCAUCUCCUAAGGCUAAAUACUCUCUAGUGACCGAUAGUGAACCAGUACCGUGAGGGAAAGGUGAAAAGCACCCCGGAAGGGGAGUGAAAUAGAACCUGAAACCGUGUGCUUACAAGUAGUCAGAGCCCGUUAAUGGGUGAUGGCGUGCCUUUUGUAGAAUGAACCGGCGAGUUACGAUUUGAUGCAAGGUUAAGCAGUAAAUGUGGAGCCGUAGCGAAAGCGAGUCUGAAUAGGGCGUUUAGUAUUUGGUCGUAGACCCGAAACCAGGUGAUCUACCCUUGGUCAGGUUGAAGUUCAGGUAACACUGAAUGGAGGACCGAA